Molecule: ribosomal RNA, 434 nt
Filed under: uncultured bacterium
Lineage: Bacteria
Description: partial 16S ribosomal RNA
Rfam family: Bacterial small subunit ribosomal RNA
Source: RNAcentral
AGCGAACGCUGGCGGCAGGCCUAACACAUGCAAGUCGAACGAACCUUUCGGGGUUAGUGGCGGACGGGUGAGUAACACGUGGGAACGUGCCUUUAGGUUCGGAAUAACUCAGGGAAACUUGUGCUAAUACCGAAUGUGCCCUUCGGGGGAAAGAUUUAUCGCCUUUAGAGCGGCCCGCGUCUGAUUAGCUAGUUGGUUGAGGUAAUGGCUCACCAAGGCGACGAUCAGUAGCUGGUCUGAGAGGAUGCUCAGCCACAUUGGGACUGAGACACGGCCCAAACUCCUACGGGAGGCAGCAGUGGGGAAUCUUGCGCAAGGGGCGAAAGCCUGACGCAGCCAUGCCGCGUGAAUGAUGAAGGUCUUAGGAUUGUAAAAUUCUUUCACCGGGGACGAUAAUGACGGUACCCGGAGAAGAAGCCCCGGCUAACUUCGUG